CCAAAUAUCCAGGAGGUGGAUGAGAUGGAAAAAGAAAACGGACUUCCACUGCCUGAGGGAUGCCUAUCAGCACAGCACAAGAGAAGAUUGUUCACUACAUAGGAAGCUCAAAUAAUCAUCAGCAGGUGCAGAGAAUUGAUUGAUGAUGACAACAAACCAAUAAAAAACAAAACUUGCCUAGAGUUGUUGGGGAAGGGAGAAGAAGGAAAGAAGAUCAUCUCGAGGGUUAAAGAUCUGCAUCCUACGGAUUAUCAGAAGAGCAUUGCAGAUAGGGUGAGAGCACAAAGAAGGUUGUCU
Long non-coding RNA from Saccostrea echinata, 297 nucleotides. RefSeq lists it as uncharacterized. The transcript is spliced from 3 exons. Lineage: Eukaryota; Metazoa; Mollusca; Bivalvia; Ostreida; Ostreidae. The record is from RefSeq and is a predicted model, not a curated record.